Molecule: ribosomal RNA, 492 nt
Filed under: uncultured bacterium
Lineage: Bacteria
Description: partial 16S ribosomal RNA
Rfam family: Bacterial small subunit ribosomal RNA
Source: RNAcentral
AGUGAACGCUGGCGGUAGGCCUAACACAUGCAAGUCGAACGGCAGCACAGUAAGAGCUUGCUCUUACGGGUGGCGAGUGGCGGACGGGUGAGGAAUACAUCGGAAUCUACUUUUUCGUGGGGGAUAACGUAGGGAAACUUACGCUAAUACCGCAUACGACCUACGGGUGAAAGCAGGGGAUCUUCGGACCUUGCGCGAUUGAAUGAGCCGAUGUCGGAUUAGCUAGUUGGCGGGGUAAAGGCCCACCAAGGCGACGAUCCGUAGCUGGUCUGAGAGGAUGAUCAGCCACACUGGAACUGGGACACGGUCCAGACUCCUACGGGAGGCAGCAGUGGGGAAUAUUGGACAAUGGGCGCAAGCCUGAUCCAGCCAUACCGCGUGGGCGAAGAAGGCCUUCGGGUUGUAAAGCCCUUUUGUUGGGAAAGAAAAGCAGCAGGUUAAUACCCCGCUGUUCUGACGGUACCCAAAGAAUAAGCACCGGCUAACUUCGUG